Molecule: ribosomal RNA, 253 nt
Filed under: uncultured bacterium
Lineage: Bacteria
Description: partial 16S ribosomal RNA
Rfam family: Bacterial small subunit ribosomal RNA
Source: RNAcentral
GACGAACCGUGCGAACGUUGUUCGGAAUCACUGGGCUUAAAGGGUGCGUAGGCGGGCUGCCAAGUUCGGGGUGAAAUCCUCCGGCUCAACCGGAGAACUGCCUCGAAUACUGGCGGUCUCGAGGGGGGUAGGGGCAUGCGGAACUAUGGGUGGAGCGGUGAAAUGCGUUGAUAUCCAUAGGAACUCCGGUGGCGAAAGCGGCGUGCUGGACCCCUUCUGACGCUGAGGCACGAAAGCCAGGGGAGCAAACGGG